Bombyx mori (domestic silkworm) is the source of this 5533-nucleotide long non-coding RNA. RefSeq lists it as uncharacterized. Lineage: Eukaryota; Metazoa; Arthropoda; Insecta; Lepidoptera; Bombycidae. The transcript is spliced from 2 exons. The record is from RefSeq and is a predicted model, not a curated record.
GUAAUCGGUCAAUCAUUUAACAGUGCAGAUGUAACCUUCAAGCGUAGUACAUCAAUCAUGCGUUUCAUUUUUCCAAACUCCGUAUACGUGAAACAGAAGCAAGAAACCGUCGUGCCUUUGAUCAGCCUCGUCUCUAAUCUCGGAGGCGUUUUCGGUCUAUGUUUGGGUUGUAGCUGCAUCAGCGUGCUCGAAAUAUUAUUCUUUUCAUAUCUGUAUAUUAAGAGAAAAAUUCGUAAGCACUUUAUUAACCCACGUAAGUGAGUUGCCACUAACACCUCAGUCUUCCUACAUAGCAAGCUUGUAUAGGUAGGUAUAAAAUGAAACCCAAAAAAUAAGGUGUGUGUAAACAUUUUAUAUUUCCCUUUAUAUAUAAUAUAUACUUUUAUUUCACUACUUCUCGCUUUCAAAUUCAAUUAUAUUUUCAAAAAUGCUUUGCUAAUUUUUCUUGAAAAAAUACAAAAAGUUACACUAAGAUUGCUUUAUCAAAAAAUGUUCUAGAAAAAAAUUACAUCUCAUAAUUUAUUUAUCAACUACAAUGUUCAUAUUAUGCAUAAAAAUACUUUAAUAAUUGAGUUUUAAAUUUAUAAAUAUACUUAAAAUUUAUAAAACCACGGGUAAAUUGCCUAGGUAAAUAAUAAUAUUAAUUAUUGCACUGUACAUUCUUUUUUUAAAUGAUCAGCGUUUUGUCUCAUAUUAUACAAAAUAAAUACUUUCCGCCAUCUUUGCCGCCAACGCAAUAAUACUUUAAAGGAAAUGGCUAAAACUAAAAACUAACGACAUAAAAUCAAUAUUUGGCUUAGAUUUUAAUUUAAACUAUAAUAAAGCACAUAAAAUAAUAAUUUGGUCUAAGUUAUGCAUAUUACAAUUAAAAUGUUAAGUGAUCUUAAGCUAACGCCCUAAAACUAAUUAUAUUCCAGUGGUCAUCACCAAUAAUCAUAUAAUCUAGUCUCAUGCCAAAAUUGUGUAAAUUUUUUUUUCUUCCUACGUUUUUUUUUCCACAAUUUUCUUGUCAUUUAAUUAAUACUAUUAUGAUUGUUAAUACAUAUUUGUUUCCAAUGCAGUUCAUUAUUAAGGCAUGUACAGUAUACAUAAUUAUUAUAAAUGUAAUGAGUAAUGGCAUGAGUAGUAUGUAGGGAGCGAGGCCGCGGAUAUUGGGCCGCGACACGAACACUGGACGUAUCACAAAGGUUUAACAUUAUAAUAUAACGUUACUAUACCAAUACCUUAUCCAAUGGAACGGUAAAACAUUACACAUCAACAUUGAGCUAACUUACAAUCAAUAUAUUAUCAAUAUAAUCUUUAAGUAAUAUUGCUGUUAGUUCGGUUAACUACACGUAUGUAUUUAUGUAUAUAAUUGAAUAAAAUUCUGACUGCAGAAACGGUAAUGGCACGAGGUUUUUAUUAUGACGAGACAUUUCGAGGACAAAACGAUAAAACUGUGCCGAGAAAUUCAACAGUAACAGAGAUCCUUACUGACUUAUAUAAAUAAACGCACCGAACGAAUCCAGCCUCGCCGGACUAGCACAACACGAAAACGCAUCCCUGAAACGCUUCAAAUAAAACUCUGUUUUAUUAUCGACAUCACAAUUAUUAUUACAAUUACUACUGCAGCGAUACAACUUCUUCAUAUAAAAAAUAUAUAUAUAUACUAUAUUCGCUUCGGUACACGGGUCGCGGGUCGACGCGUGCGCCGCCCUAGUCAGAAACACAAAGCACGCGAUGAGCGAGGACGUCCUCUAGAGUUCGAUAAGCCGGGUCGGGGGUCACAGCGACACCAGCUCGGGGGGGUCGGCGGCGCCGGGCGGGGCGGGGCGCGGGGGGACCACGUACGCGUGCGCGUGUCCUAGCGGGUGGGGAAGCACUGGGGUCAACCCCGUGCCCCCGUCCAUGAGGCUUUCGUAGUUAAACAUGCCGUUGCUAGGCGUGCUGAUCUCGAUGCCGGCUAUUUUGCUGUUCCCGAGUACUUUGUUGUUGUGUAUCUGUAAAGGAAGGCCUCGUUAAAUUUGCUCACAUAACGGGCUGAUAUUUUAUCAUAUUCUUUUAACGAAAUGUAUCCCCUCUUUACAAAUAAUCCGUGUCUAAAUUGCGAAUAAAGCCAAAGAUAUUAUGAUGAGCUCGUUUUUUUUUUCGUACCUAUGCUAAGGUUGACAAGCCUUGAGAAGCUAUUUCACCCUCACCUUAACGUGUAGCUGAGCUCACAGGGCUCAAACCGGAGUGUUGCUAACACUGACCCUAGCAAGAGCAGUGCUUCGCAGAAUCUACCAACGAAUCGGAAACGCGACCCACUAAGAUCCGGCGAGAAACUCAGUGGGCUGUGUCUGUGGGUUAAUUUACUUGUCGAGCCCUUCGUCGCAAGCGACGGGUUCGGCUAGGACGGUGACCGGUGCUUGAGGUACCUAAAAGCACCGCUAGUGGAUCGGAAGGAUCCGUAAUGACGCAUUUAGGGCGAUGUCGAUUGUUUACCAUUCGGUCCACAGGAUUGGGUAAGAAUUUGCUCUAUUGUGUCCCUAACAUAUGUAAUAUAAUAGACGAUCUAUCAAUAUCCUCUUUAGUCUGCCUACCGCGCUAUUAAUAGCCGAUAGAUAAUAUUAUUAUAAUCAUUUCGUCUAUGCAUUUCGAAUAAAUAAAAUAUUAAGUUACGUCAUUUACCUGUGCAGGUGUGAGACUGAGCGGUACUUGUAGUGAAUUAGGCCUAUUGGGUCGAGAAAUAGCGGGCGGGGUAUCCAACGUGACCGUAUCCCCACUCGUCACCACGCCAGGGUUGGCCGAAGACAGCAUUAUCCUGAGAAAAAAAAAAGAGAAAACAAACGUUUAGUAUGAUUUAAAAAUGUACUAUUCUUAUUAAAGUCUCAGGUUAUCACUAAAAACGAAUGUUUAAAAUAUUAAUUGAAUUAUUAUUUUACAAGUAAUUUUGUUUUGUUGUUUCCGACAAAACUUCUGUUUAACAACAUUUAUUUUGCACAUAGUUACAAAUACAGAAACAGGAAAAACGUCUAUUGUUCUGCUAGAUACCUACUUUUUUUGUUUUGAAAACUUUUAUCAACUAUUUAAUUAACAUGUCUGAACCGCUUUUGACGGCUUGCAGUAAUAAAUAUGCCUUUUUUAUUAUAAUACGUACACAUACUGCAGACGAGCAAACACAAAUGUCGCCCAUGUCAUUAACAAUGUACACUUGACUGUGUCAUUAAGAUCUUUAGUUUUGAUAUUUACUAUGAAAACUAGCGGGUCCGUAUGUGUAUGUGAAAUCCUCAAUUUGUUGAUGCUCUAAAGAAAAUUGCUCCUACUUGGGUCAAAUAUAUUCAUGAAUAGUAUAAGAUGAGCGUAAACAAUAGUCAGAACAUGUUGGCAGUCACUGGAGGAGAAGACGCAAUAAAUAAACAACACAGGAAGUGCUGAACGAAAUAUACUCAUGAUAAAUACAAUGAUUAAUGGCCACAUUAAUCCGAAACUCUGCGAAAAAAAUAUAAAUUCGAAAUUAUACAAGAGCCUGUAUGCUUCUAGACUGGACAGACUUUGAAGAUGGAUAAAAAAAAACUUCUGGAAGGAAUCGUUUGAUAAACUUCGUCGAACCUCUAAAUAUAAGUUUUUCAUGAAUGCGUUCGUUAUUUGAGAUUUAAUUUUCGGAGUCAUGGUAUGGAGAUUCAAGAUACCCCGUCCACUAAUUCAAUGUUGCACUUUCUAGAAAAUCACGCACUUUGGAAAAAACCUUGCUCGGCAAAUUCCUUCUUUUCAGACAGAGAAUUUUAGUGGCCGAUAAAGCUCAUUGAAUUUUGGAGUUUAAGUGCCUCUGCUUAUCACAUUCAGUUCAUAAUCGCUGAAACAGCAAAAUCAUGGUGGUACCCUAAACUAUCCAGGCAGCCCCAAUAAGAUGCAGUGAAGACUUACAAAAGGCCUCCAAGUGGGGGAUCGAUAAGGUAACGAAUGGCGUCCAAGACUUAAAUUACAUAUUUGUAAUAAGUUGCUUUUAUGUUAAAAAAAACUGUACAAUAUGAGUAGGCACCCAAUGAUUUGGUAGACGUUAUACUGAUUAAAAUGAACCCGUUAACGAGUGCACAAGAAGGGCUGCGGUACGCGAGUACGACCCGAAAUGAUGACCACGACCACUCUGCCAAGAGCGCAUGCGACUGAGAAGAAUACUGAUAAAAUCUUAGUUAUAAGUAAAUUGCAAAUUACCUUUUUUCGGUCGACGGUGUUGUGAAAAUGUUAUCCAACCCCAGCAUUACUGGGUCGACUGUGGGGUCUAUGACUUCGGUUUUGACUCGAACUCCGUCCUCCGGGUCCGGAUACGUGUAAACUUCCUGGAGGGGCUUCACGUCCGGCGGACUCGAAGAGCGGUCGCUGAGCCGGCACGUUAUCAUAUGGUUCUGCAAUAUCGUUUGAAGGUGCUCCCGGUCCGCGUUUAACUUUCUUAUUUCCUCUUGGAGCGACUGUCUCUUUUGCUCCAAUCUAUCGGUCUCGUCUUGCAGUUCGUUAGUGUGAUCGAGUCUGCGUUUGCGACACCGCGCGGCCGCCAUCUUGUUCCUUUCGCGGCGUAUCUUUCUUCGUUCUUCCUCUUCGGGCGAUAGUUCCUGCGGUGCUUUGUUCGGUCUACGACCGCCCAUGUUGCGUCGUUUCGGCGCCGGGAGACCAGGGCUGCUGCUGCUGUCGCCGCUAGCGGAGAGCGGGCCCGGCGACACGUGCAGCGCGGUCGUCGGGCCCGAAUCACAGUAUCCCACCGAAUUAAGAAUACCUGUAAUUUAUCAAACAAUUCCAUUGAUUUACAAAAUAUUAUUAGAAAUAUAUACAGUAUUUUGAUAUUUACUUUUUUUAUUCUUUUUUGUUUAUUGCUUAGAUGGGUGGACGAACUCACAGCCCACCUGGUGUUAAGUGCUUACUGGAGCCCACAGAAAUCCACAACGUAAAUGCGCCACCCACCUUGAGAUAUAAGUUCUAAGGUCUCAAGUAUAAUUACAACGGCUGGCCCACCCUUCAAACCGAAACGCAUUACUGCUUCACGGCAGAAAUAGGCGGGGUGGUGUUACCUACCCGUGGGGACUCACAAGACUUCCUUACUUAUUCCUUCACGUUGGAAGUCAAUCCUGAAGAUUUCUUAAGUACGUAUUUCAUUUGAAAAAUUGGUACCCGCCUGAGGUUCGAACAUCGGUGCAUCGCUCAACACGAAUGCACCGGACGUCUUAUCCGUUAGUCCACGACGACUAACAAAUGGCGACUAACUAACAAGUGGCGGUUGCUCGUGAGUAUCGCGCAUAAAAUCUGCCCACAGCAAUGAUACCGAAUGACGACCACGACCGCUCUGACAAGAGUGAUUGAAACGACAAAUAAAAAAGAAAUUACAAUGAAUUAUAUCUAUGUACUCACCGUAAUUGUUGGCGUGCGUGACUGAAGGUGGUACGAAGCCGACGUGAGUGGUUGGUUCGCUUCGGCAGUUGGUCAACUCGAUGUACGUCUGCUCGAAGUUCCGCAACUGAGUGGGGGUGAUGGUCGCCGUCGUGCGGGUCGGGACUCCUGACUGGAGUCCUUCGAGGUUUGCCAA